Molecule: ribosomal RNA, 490 nt
Filed under: uncultured bacterium
Lineage: Bacteria
Description: partial 16S ribosomal RNA
Rfam family: Bacterial small subunit ribosomal RNA
Source: RNAcentral
GAUGAACGCUAGCUACAGGCUUAACACAUGCAAGUCGCGGGGCAGCAUGGGGGUUGCUUGCAAUCCCCGAUGGCGACCGGCGCACGGGUGAGUAACGCGUAUCCAACCUGCCCUUCACCACGGGAUAAACCGGCGAAAGUCGGACUAAUACCGUAUGUUGUCCAUUGACGGCAUCCGAUUUGGACGAAAGGUUUGGCGGGGAAGGAUGGGGAUGCGUCCGAUUAGCUGGACGGCGGGGUGACGGCCCACCGUGGCGACGAUCGGUAGGGGUUCUGAGAGGAAGGUCCCCCACACUGGAACUGAGACACGGUCCAGACUCCUACGGGAGGCAGCAGUGAGGAAUAUUGGUCAAUGGGCGUAAGCCUGAACCAGCCAAGUAGCGUGCAGGAUGACGGCCCUAUGGGUUGUAAACUGCUUUUAUGCGGGGAUAAAGUGGCCCACGUGUGGGUUUUUGCAGGUACCGCAUGAAUAAGGACCGGCUAAUUCCGUG